AAUGAGGAUGAGGAAGUAGGAAAGAGGGCAGGCAGCCGGUACUCUGAAGAGAGCAGUGUGUACUACACCCUUUCCUUAUCCAGGAGAAUGGCAACUUCUCCUACGAGGAGAGGUCUAAGAGCAAGUUUCAAUGACGUGAAGUUCUGCCGUUUGACCAGCAGAUCAGCAGAAGACAAAGCGCUCAGGAGAGCGGCAGUGAGGCCAGUGGGCUCCCUGUGGGGGAAAGAAUGGAUAGUCUGCAGAUGGAACUCACCUUUGAGAUAAAUAAAGAAGAAAAGACACUCAGUCAAGAUACCAACCCAGGAAUAACUGAGGGAGAAUUUUCAUCUAAAAGAAAUUCACCUUGUAAACUCUUAAGAGACUCCUCUAUCCAGGGAGCCAUCUGUCCUUGGCUUUUCCUCAGUAGAUGGCUCCGAUGACAGAGAAAGCAGAAAGCAAUACAGAAAGAAAUGGACAUGUUGGACUGUGCUUCUUGUCAUCAACUGAGGGAAAAGAGUUAACAUUACAGAUGGACAAAAAGUGAAGCCACCAAUUCAGAUAUGAUUUGGGGGGACCCUUAGAUUUCAUUAUUUCUGUCCCUAUUCAUACAACAUCCAACAAAUAUAUAUUGCAUAUCUACUGUGUGUAAAGAUCUGCUCUAAAUAGAAGGAUUACAACAUAGUGGUUAAAGAGUGUAGGCUUUAGAUAAGUGUUUUAAAAAUUGUGCAUCACAAUUGAUUUGUAUAAUCAAUUUAGUAUGUUAUCAUAAAAAAGAAAUGAUAUAGAACAGAAUAUAUUCAAUUUAGCACAUAUUUGUAUAUAUUAGGGUGG
Molecule: long non-coding RNA, 810 nt
Filed under: Pongo abelii (Sumatran orangutan)
Lineage: Eukaryota; Metazoa; Chordata; Mammalia; Primates; Hominidae
Description: lincRNA
Source: RNAcentral